GCUUACGGCCACACCGGCCUGAGUACGCCUGAUCUCGUCGAUCUCGGAAGCUAAGCAGGGUUGGGCCUGGUUAGUACUUGGAUGGGAGACCGCCUGCGAAUACCAGGUGCUGUAAGCU
Oncorhynchus mykiss (rainbow trout) is the source of this 118-nucleotide ribosomal RNA. Lineage: Eukaryota; Metazoa; Chordata; Actinopteri; Salmoniformes; Salmonidae. The record is from Ensembl.